GACAGAGGGGGCAAGCGUUGCUCGGAAUCACUGGGCGUAAAGCGCACGUAGGCGGAUUGUUAAGUCAGGGGUGAAAUCCUGGAGCUCAACUCCAGAACUGCCUUUGAUACUGGCGAUCUCGAGUCCGGGAGAGGUGAGUGGAACUGCGAGUGUAGAGGUGAAAUUCGUAGAUAUUCGCAAGAACACCAGUGGCGAAGGCGGCUCACUGGCCCGGUACUGACGCUGAGGUGCGAAAGCGUGGGGAGCAAACAGG
Molecule: ribosomal RNA, 253 nt
Filed under: uncultured bacterium
Lineage: Bacteria
Description: partial 16S ribosomal RNA
Rfam family: Bacterial small subunit ribosomal RNA
Source: RNAcentral